AUGUCAGGGUCAAAAACUCUGAAACCACGCAAGCUUGCUUGCUGGUGGUUGAAAGAGCUUUUGACCCGCCGAAACAUGAGGACGAAGUGGUACUUCGGUGCCACGGGAGUCCGAAUGUUUCGCAGGAUCGUGAAAGCACGAAGUGCGGAACGAUCCGUGACA
Molecule: small RNA, 162 nt
Filed under: uncultured Eubacterium sp.
Lineage: Bacteria; Bacillati; Bacillota; Clostridia; Eubacteriales; Eubacteriaceae
Description: Clostridiales-1 RNA
Rfam family: Clostridiales-1 RNA
Source: RNAcentral